AGUGAACGCUGGCGGUAGGCCUAACACAUGCAAGUCGAACGGCAGCACAGUAAGAGCUUGCUCUUACGGGUGGCGAGUGGCGGACGGGUGAGGAAUACAUCGGAAUCUACUUUUUCGUGGGGGAUAACGUAGGGAAACUUACGCUAAUACCGCAUACGACCUACGGGUGAAAGCAGGGGAUCUUCGGACCUUGCGCGAUUGAAUGAGCCGAUGUCGGAUUAGCUAGUUGGCGGGGGAAAGGCCCACCAAGGCGACGAUCCGUAGCUGGUCUGAGAGGAUGAUCAGCCACACUGGAACUGAGACACGGUCCAGACUCCUACGGGAGGCAGCAGUGGGGAAUAUUGGACAAUGGGCGCAAGCCUGAUCCAGCAAUACCGCGUGGGUGAAGAAGGACUUCGGGUUGUAAAGCCCUUUUGUUGGGAAAGAAAAGCAGCAGGUUAAUACCCCGCUGUUCUGACGGUACCCAAAGAAUAAGCACCGGCUAACUUCGUG
Molecule: ribosomal RNA, 492 nt
Filed under: uncultured bacterium
Lineage: Bacteria
Description: partial 16S ribosomal RNA
Rfam family: Bacterial small subunit ribosomal RNA
Source: RNAcentral